This 270-nucleotide long non-coding RNA is filed under the name Lathyrus oleraceus (garden pea). RNAcentral's name for it is "Pisum sativum (pea) long non-coding RNA (PSAT_LNC041819)". Lineage: Eukaryota; Viridiplantae; Streptophyta; Magnoliopsida; Fabales; Fabaceae. The record is from RNAcentral.
AUGUUUUGUGGCUUAGUCCAUUCUUGUUAAGUUUUCCACACAUUAGCCAUAGGUUUCAAUUACCAUAGUGGUUGAUGUAAAUCUUACCGUAUCCUUAGUGAGUUGAUUGUAAGUCUUCCAUGCUUAUUAUAGGGUUAACCCCUCACUAGUAUGUUGAAGCCGUCCUCUCAUGGUGGAUUGUUGAUUCAGGUUGAGUUUUCUCCCAUUGGUAAUGAAAAGCCUUAGAGCUUGUGUUUUAAAAUGAAUUCACUAACUUUUGGAAGUUUUUAG